Molecule: ribosomal RNA, 254 nt
Filed under: uncultured bacterium
Lineage: Bacteria
Description: partial 16S ribosomal RNA
Rfam family: Bacterial small subunit ribosomal RNA
Source: RNAcentral
UACGAAGGGGGCUAGCGUUGUUCGGAAUCACUGGGCGUAAAGCGCACGCAGGCGGAUCGUUAAGUCAGGGGUGAAAUGCCGAGGCUCAACCUCGGAACUGCCUUUGAUACUGGCGAUCUUAGAGUCCGGGAGAGGUGAGUGGAACUCCGAGUGUAGAGGUGAAAUUCUUAGAUAUUCGGAAGAACACCAGUGGCGAAGGCGGCUCACUGGCCCGGUACUGACGCUCAGGUGCGAAAGCGUGGGGAGCAAACAGG